GAGGCGCGGGACCUGGGUGAUCUCUGCUCGGGGGCAGGGUAGGGCUGGUGAGGCACGCCUGAGCUUCUAAAGCUACUGACGGGGAGAGUCCCCCAGACAGUGAGCCCAAAGGACGGCUGGAUUGAAGAUCAGCGUGGUAGAAGGAAGUUCAGCUCUAAGAAGUAAAGGAGCCCCCAGAGCCACCGUUGGUAGCUGGCCUAAACGCCCUGAUACACAUAAGCGACGUCAUGGAAUUUUGAUGUCAGACGAGGUCUCUGACGAGAUGGAAGGGGACACGGGUUCGAGCCCUGGUGUGGGCGGAGCAAGUAAGUCCGUGCGCCAUGACUACUGAGCCCGCCUGCCACAACUACGGAAGCCCACAUGCCUAGAGCCCAUGCGCCACAGCAAGAGAAGCCACUGCAAUGAGAAGCCCGCUCAGCGCAAUGAAGAGUAGCCCCCGCUCGC
This is a long non-coding RNA of Balaenoptera acutorostrata (minke whale), 444 nucleotides long. RefSeq lists it as uncharacterized. The transcript is spliced from 3 exons. NCBI's taxonomy places the organism in Eukaryota, Metazoa, Chordata, Mammalia, Artiodactyla, Balaenopteridae. The record is from RefSeq and is a predicted model, not a curated record.